GGUACUCCCCCUUUCCUUUCUCUCCUCCCCCAGGAAGAGAAGAGGAUAGUAUUUCAACAUGACUUUUGCAAUGAACAAGCCAUAUUCAAAUCAUGGCAAUUUACCUUACUAGUCUUCUAAAAUUCUCCCCAUCCUGCUAUGGAGUCAGAAGGCUGUUGCCUGUGCCUGUAUCUACUUUUUUGACUUUGAAAAAGCCACUCAAAAUAAGACACUGCCGACAUUUAAGAAGAUACUGGGAAUAAUCAUCAUGUGUCCCUCUCCAGGAGAAUCUUACCAGCUUCUGGAAUGGUUGGUCCACUGGCAUCUUCGGCAAUGAUCUUGGCCUGUGCUUAUAUCUUGAAAUGCUCCCCCUACUUUUUGUUAUGGUUUGGAUGUGAGGUGUCCCCCAGAAAAGCUCAUGCAUGAGACAAUGUAGGAAGGUUCAGAGGAGAAAUGAUUGUAUUGUAAAAUCUUAACCUAGUCAGUGAAAUAAUCCUUGAUGGAAUUAACUGAAGUGGUAGGAUGUGG
Ictidomys tridecemlineatus (thirteen-lined ground squirrel) is the source of this 507-nucleotide non-coding RNA. The record is from RefSeq and is a predicted model, not a curated record. NCBI's taxonomy places the organism in Eukaryota, Metazoa, Chordata, Mammalia, Rodentia, Sciuridae.